ACGAGUGGCGGACGGGUGAGUAAUACAUAGGAAUCUGCCCAGUAGCGGGGGACAACUCGGGGAAACUCGAGCUAAUACCGCAUACGCCCUACGGGGAAAGCAGGGGAUCUUCGGACCUUGCACUAUUGGAUGAGCCUAUGUCGGAUUAGCUUGUUGGUGAGGUAAAGGCUCACCAAGGCAACGAUCUGUAGCUGGUCUGAGAGGACGAUCAGCCACACUGGGACUGAGACACGGCCCAGACUCCUACGGGAGGCAGCAGUGGGGAAUAUUGGACAAUGGGGGCAACCCUGAUCCAGCAAUGCCGCGUGUGUGAAGAAGGCCUGCGGGUUGUAAAGCACUUUCAAUCGUGAAGAAAAAACGUAUGGAUAAUACCCGUACGUCUUGACGUUAACGAUACAAGAAGCACCGGCUAACUCCGUGCCAGCAGCCGCGGUAAUACGGAGGGUGCGAGCGUUAAUCGGAAUUACUGGGCGUAAAGAGCACGUAGGCGGCUUGGCAGUCGGAUGUGAAAGCCCCGGGCUUAACCUGGGAAUUGCACUCGAUACUACCAAGCUAGAGUUUAGUAGAGGAAUGCGGAAUUCCGGGUGUAGCGGUGAAAUGCGUAGAUAUCCGGAGAACAUCAGUGGCGAAGGGGCAUUCUGGGCUAAAACUGACGCUGAGGUGCGAAAGGUGGGGAGCAAACAGGAUUAGAUACCCUGGUAGUCCACGCCGUAAACGAUGUCAACUAGCCGUUGGGAUUUUUCUUAGUGGCGCAGUAACGCGAUAAGUUGACCGCCUGGGGAGUACGCCGGCAACGUAAAACUCAAAGGAAUUGACGGGGG
This 821-nucleotide ribosomal RNA is filed under the name uncultured bacterium. Its description in RNAcentral is "bacterial SSU rRNA". It matches the Rfam family "Bacterial small subunit ribosomal RNA", at positions 91 to 919 of the family's 1533-position model. The record is from RNAcentral.